This 483-nucleotide ribosomal RNA is filed under the name Triticum aestivum (bread wheat). RNAcentral's name for it is "partial small subunit ribosomal RNA". The record is from RNAcentral. Lineage: Eukaryota; Viridiplantae; Streptophyta; Magnoliopsida; Poales; Poaceae.
AUGCUCCUUGAAAUCCUGGCUAUACUGCGUGAUGAGGACAUCCCAGGUUCACCUCAUUUAUCAUCUUCUCCUGAUGAUAAAUCUCAGCCAUCAAGUGAAGCUUCUACAAAGAAGAUCUAUUUGGGUCCCAUGACAAGGAGCCGUGCCAAACAAAUAGCACAAGAGGUGAACACGCUCCUAGCUUAUCAUAAUUCAAAUGACCAUGAGAACUUUAUACUGCCUAAAUCUCGUGUGCUGAUUUUACUUAGGUACAAUGUUGAGGACAACCAACAACAUUCAGCACAUGAAGAAACAAGUUUUGGAGCCCAUACAACAAGUUUGAAGAGAACAAGUUUCAACUCUGAUGAAAGCCUUGUUUUCGUGACAAGGACAACUAGUUACACCGCAAGGAAGAAUAGCAAGCCAUCUCAACACUCUAUUGUUGCAUUUGUAGUUCCAGAAUUCGUCCCAGAACUUGCUAAAUCAUGCAAGGCAAAUAUAUGA